This 74-nucleotide transfer RNA is filed under the name Cordylochernes scorpioides. RNAcentral's name for it is "tRNA-Thr". The record is from RNAcentral. Lineage: Eukaryota; Metazoa; Arthropoda; Arachnida; Pseudoscorpiones; Chernetidae.
UUUCAGGGAUGGAAAUCGAACCCACAGUAUUCCGCUUACCGGGCAGAUGCCAUGUCCACUAAGCUAACCUUGAU